GCUCGAGAAGGUAGAGGAGAUGGCGCAGGGGACACAGGCUAUGACAUGGGGGCUCCUGGGGCCCUUGAACAUGUGUCCUCUUCUCCCUCCUCCCAGGUGUAUG
This is a microRNA precursor of Loxodonta africana (African savanna elephant), 103 nucleotides long. Ensembl annotates it as microRNA 877. Its record names the gene MIR877. The record is from Ensembl. NCBI's taxonomy places the organism in Eukaryota, Metazoa, Chordata, Mammalia, Proboscidea, Elephantidae.